AUGCCGCCGCCGUCCCCUGCUACGAAUCUCGCUCACUGCAAGCUGCAGAGCCCGUGCCCAUCUCCCCUGAGGCUGCACCAUCCUAAGUUUCUAUUUUCUAUCUGGGCUCCACGACCGGUAGUAGGAUGCUCAUUAGGCAACCCAAGGUGUGUACGCCCCUACUUCCCCAAGGUACUCAAGCCUCACGCCUGGGCUGACCACGAGAUGUGUGCUGCUGUGAGGCAUGUAGCACCACUUCUCCCGACUGCUAUCAUUAGUGAAAGAUCUCAUGUCACGGCGUCAUGGUCUCAUGGAAUGGACAUCACAUGGCUUAUUAGGAACUCUGAGUUCAGCGGGCACCAUGCCGAAUGUGUUAGAUCCACUAUUUUAGAGGGUAAAUAG
This 381-nucleotide ribosomal RNA is filed under the name Triticum aestivum (bread wheat). Its description in RNAcentral is "partial small subunit ribosomal RNA". The record is from RNAcentral. Lineage: Eukaryota; Viridiplantae; Streptophyta; Magnoliopsida; Poales; Poaceae.